This 1393-nucleotide unclassified non-coding RNA is filed under the name Hevea brasiliensis (rubber tree). Lineage: Eukaryota; Viridiplantae; Streptophyta; Magnoliopsida; Malpighiales; Euphorbiaceae. The record is from RNAcentral.
GGAUCACCUGUUGCUGUUCUGGAGGAAGAACGGAGAAAAACUGCUGGUGAGGGCAGGAAAUCAGCUGAAGUUGCCAAACCUGGUUCUUCAUCAUCAGGAACUGAAUUGAAGUCAGGAAAGCUGCACGAAGCUUCAUUCAGCUCCAUGAAUGCAUUGAUUGAGAGCUGUGCAAAAUAUUCUGAAGCAAAUGCAUCCAUGUCUCUAAGUGAUGCUGUUGGAAUGAAUCUGCUAGCCAGUGUAGCUACUGAAGAAAUGUCCAAGUCUGGAAGGGUUUCACCUUUUGUUUCUCCCCAAGGAGAUAGCCCUUCAGGUGGGGAGACCUGCACAGGUGAUGAGCUUAAGCCAAAGACAUCUCCUGUAGAUAGUUCUUCAGGCAACCAUAGUGGGCGAAAUGACGGUGAUGCUAAUGGUGAUAAAGAGAAACAGUUCGUUGUUGCUAAUACGUCGUGGUCUGAGGGUAAAGUACAUGCUAAUAGAAGUGCAAUGACGGAUUUUAACAGAGAAAGAAGGCCCUCUUCAUCUCCUUCUGAAGAAACAACCACGGGAGAGUGCUUUAAUUCAUCCUGCACUGAUUCACAGAUGGCUGGAAAUUUGAAAUCAGGUGUUAAUGAGAAGUUAGUUGAGAUGGCAAAGUCUGCUGCGGCUCCUUGCAAUGUAUUCGAAAAAGCAAGUGAUGGUGAACAGAGCAGACAAUUCCAUGAGGAAAAAGUAAUUUCCACUAAGACACUUGAUAAUGUUCUAGAUGGCGAAUCAGGUGGACAUGGUAGUUCAAUAGGAGAGGACAAAGUCACUAAUGGCCUUGUAAGCAUAGAAGGCUUGAAACGACCAGUUGGAAUUUCUGCUUUUAAAUAUGAGGGCGACGACAAAAAUGAUGUGAGUAGGGUGUUAGGUGUUGCUAGUACAGAGGUGAAACCGCCUUCGGUUGUGGUGAAAUCUGAAGCUACAGAAAGAGGUGACAAGGAAGAGUUGCAACAAACUGGUUCUAGUCGAGACACUAUUGCAGGGAAAGGUGGACAUUCUGAUGAAAUGGAUGCAAAUAGUGUUUUAAAGUCAGAACAGCCAAAUUCUGAUAAAAAGACUGUUGAUACUUCAGUUAUUGAGGAUAAAGCCGCAUCUGAAUGUAAUUUAGCUAUAAGGAAUUUGACAAAGGAUGAACCUAAAGCUGAAGAGAUGACGAAGCAUGAUUCUGGCAGUGGAUUACUUACUAAGAAAGAGACACCUGGAUUUUCUAAUGCAGAAGUGGAAAAUGUGGAAUCAAGAGAAUCUAAAUACUCUGGUGUAGAGGCAGAUAGACCAAUGGAAUGUGUAUCCAUCAAAGGGGAAAAUUCUUCAAGCUCUGCUGCUGCUGCCCCAGAUUCAGCUUCAAAGAUGAAGUUUGACUUAAAUGAAGGUU